RNAcentral lists this ribosomal RNA (491 nucleotides) under uncultured bacterium. RNAcentral's name for it is "partial 16S ribosomal RNA". It matches the Rfam family "Bacterial small subunit ribosomal RNA", at positions 29 to 506 of the family's 1533-position model. The record is from RNAcentral.
AGUGAACGCUGGCGGUAGGCCUAACACAUGCAAGUCGAACGGCAGCACAGUAAGAGCUUGCUCUUACGGGUGGCGAGUGGCGGACGGGUGAGGAAUACAUCGGAAUCUACUUUUUCGUGGGGGGUAACGUAGGGAAACUUACGCUAAUACCGCAUACGACCUACGGGUGAAAGCAGGGGAUCUUCGGACCUUGCGCGAUUGAAUGAGCCGAUGUCGGAUUAGCUAGUUGGCGGGGUAAAGGCCCACCAAGGCGACGAUCCGUAGCUGGUCUGAGAGGAUGAUCAGCCAAACUGGAACUGAGACACGGUCCAGACUCCUACGGGAGGCAGCAGUGGGGAAUAUUGGACAAUGGGCGCAAGCCUGAUCCAGCCAUACCGCGUGGGUGAAGAAGGCCUUCGGGUUGUAAAGCCCUUUUGUUGGGAAAGAAAAGCAGCAGGUUAAGACCCCGCUGUUCUGACGGUACCCAAAGAAUAAGCACCGGCGAACUUCGU